RNAcentral lists this ribosomal RNA (209 nucleotides) under uncultured bacterium. RNAcentral describes it as "partial 16S ribosomal RNA". It matches the Rfam family "Bacterial small subunit ribosomal RNA", at positions 524 to 732 of the family's 1533-position model. The record is from RNAcentral.
UACGGAGGGUGCAAGCGUUAAUCGGAAUUACUGGGCGUAAAGCGCACGCAGGCGGUUUGUUAAGUGAGAUGUGAAAUCCCCGGGCUGAACCUGGGAAUAGCAUCUGAUACGGGGAAGCUUGAGUACUGUAGGGGGGGGUAGAAUUCCACGUGUAGCGGUGAAAUGCGUAGAGAUGUGGAGGAAUACCGGAGGCGAAGGCAGCCCCCUGG